CCCUGGAUGGUGUAAACGGUUAACAUGUUUGGCUGUUACCCAAAAGAUUGGAGAUUCAAGUCCACCCAGAGA
This 72-nucleotide transfer RNA is filed under the name Loxodonta africana (African savanna elephant). It matches the Rfam family "tRNA". From Rfam's summary of the family: Transfer RNA (tRNA) molecules are approximately 80 nucleotides in length. Their secondary structure includes four short double-helical elements and three loops (D, anti-codon, and T loops). The record is from Rfam by way of RNAcentral. Lineage: Eukaryota; Metazoa; Chordata; Mammalia; Proboscidea; Elephantidae.